RNAcentral lists this ribosomal RNA (891 nucleotides) under uncultured archaeon. RNAcentral describes it as "bacterial SSU rRNA". It matches the Rfam family "Archaeal small subunit ribosomal RNA", at positions 21 to 917 of the family's 1478-position model. The record is from RNAcentral.
ACCUGACUGCUAUCGGAUUGAUACUAAGCCAUGCGAGUCAUUGUACCAAUACAAGGCAUACGGCUCAGUAACGCGUAGUCAACCUAACCUAUGGACGGGAAUAACCUCGGGAAACUGAGAAUAAUGCCCGAUAGAACAUUAUACCUGGAAUGGUUUAUGUUCCAAAUGAUUUAUCGCCAUAGGAUGGGACUGCGGCCUAUCAGUUUGUUGGUGAGGUAAUGGCCCACCAAGACUACUACAGGUACGGGCUCUGAGAGGAGUAGCCCGGAGAUGGGUACUGAGACACGGACCCAGGCCCUAUGGGGCGCACCAUGCGAGAAAACUUUGCAAUGUGCGAAAGCACGACAAGGUUAAUCCGAGUGAUUUCUGCUAAAGAGAUCUUUUGUUAGUCCUAGAAACACUAACGAAUAAGGGGUGGGCAAGUUCUGGUGUCAGCCGCCGCGGUAAAACCAGCACCUCAAGUGGUCAGGAUGAUUAUUGGGCCUAAAGCAUCCGUAGCCGGCUCUGUAAGUUUUCGGUUAAAUCUGUACGCUCAACGUACAGGCUGCCGGGAAUACUGCAGAACUAGGGAGUGGGAGAGGUAGACGGUACUCGGGUAGGAAGUGGUGAAAUGCUUUGAUCUAUCGGUGACCACCUGUGGCAAACGGGGUCUACCAGAACACGUCCGACCGUGAGGGAUGAAAGCUGGGGGAGCAACCCGGAUUACAUACCCGGGUAGUCCCAGCUGUAAACUAUACAAACUCACUGAUGCAUUGUCUUGUGGGCCAUGCAUUGCUGCAUGCAAGCCGUUAACUUUGCCGCCUGGGAAGUACAUACGCAAGUAUGAAACUUAAAGGAAUUGGCUGGGGAGCACCACCACGUGUGAUACCUGCGGUUCAAUAGCAGUCAACG